AUUUAUAAAGACUGUUUGUUUUUUUUUUCUUUCCCUGCCUUAGGAAGAAGAUCAGUUUUUAACAGGUUACUAGUCAGCCUAGUAAUGUUUAAGAGAAAACAGACUCAUUACGCUGACCAAAAGGUGAAAAAACAGUGAGUGACUUUGUUUAGGCUUGUUGAAGAUCACAAAAGUUGGUGGAUUACAGUUACUACAAAGCCAGAGGGAAAAAUUGCACAGCCUAUUGCUACCUGUUGU
This 237-nucleotide long non-coding RNA is filed under the name Struthio camelus australis. RNAcentral describes it as "lncRNA (ENSSCUG00000006455.1)". Lineage: Eukaryota; Metazoa; Chordata; Aves; Struthioniformes; Struthionidae. The record is from RNAcentral.